RNAcentral lists this ribosomal RNA (301 nucleotides) under uncultured bacterium. RNAcentral's name for it is "partial 16S ribosomal RNA". It matches the Rfam family "Bacterial small subunit ribosomal RNA", at positions 509 to 807 of the family's 1533-position model. The record is from RNAcentral.
CAGUAGCCACGGUAAUACGGAGGGUGCAAGCGUUAAUCGGAAUUACUGGGCGUAAAGCGCACGCAGGCGGUGAGUUAAGUCUGCUGUGAAAUCCCCGGGCUCAACCUGGGAAUGGUAGUGGAUACUGGCUCGCUAGAGUGUGUCAGAGGAUGGUGGAAUUCCCGGUGUAGCGGUGAAAUGCGUAGAGAUCGGGAGGAACAUCAGUGGCGAAGGCGGCCAUCUGGGACAACACUGACGCUGAGGCACGAAAGCGUGGGGAGCGAACAGGAUUAGAUACCCCUGUAGUCCCUGUCUCUUAUAC